Ciona intestinalis (vase tunicate) is the source of this 538-nucleotide non-coding RNA. The record is from RefSeq and is a predicted model, not a curated record. Lineage: Eukaryota; Metazoa; Chordata; Ascidiacea; Phlebobranchia; Cionidae.
CCUAAAAUAAAUACAGUAUACCUGGUAGCAAGAAAUACAAUGUACAUUAAAGCAGGGACAGAUAAGUAUUUAAAUACGUAGGUUUAUAUUCUUAAUCGGAUCCCUAUAUAACAACGUGGAUAUAAAGACAAACCAAGGAUUCAAAAAUAAAGUUAAGAUGUUGCGUUCAACUACCACUGUGCAACGGACCGUGACGAUCCCUAAACGAAAAGGUCAGUGGAGCAUGACUGUCCACGUGGGUGAUUUCAAACCGGAGGAUAUUGUGGUAAAGACGGUGAAUAAACAAGUGGAGGUACACGCCGAAAAGUGGGGAGGGGGGGCGAUGCAAGCCGAUUUCACUCAUAAAUGCCAGCUGCCCGCUUACGUAGAUGCUACUACUGUGUCGUCACAAUUAUAUCGGGAUGGAACACUUAUUCUACGCGCGUGCCCUGCACUGUGACGUCAUAAUUAUAUUAGAGAACUCCUUGCACAAAAGAUUUUGUCAAAAUUUAUAAAAUAUUUAAGGAUGUUUGUAAAUAAAUAUAACUAAGAACUGGAA